RNAcentral lists this ribosomal RNA (719 nucleotides) under uncultured fungus. RNAcentral's name for it is "SSU rRNA". It matches the Rfam family "Eukaryotic small subunit ribosomal RNA", at positions 336 to 1059 of the family's 1831-position model. The record is from RNAcentral. Lineage: Eukaryota; Fungi.
GAGGCCUACCAUGGUGGUAACGGGUAACGGGGUGUUAGGGCACGACACCGGAGAGGGAGCCUGAGAAACGGCUACCACAUCCAAGGAUGGCAGCAGGCGCGCAAAUUACCCAAUCCCGACACGGGGAGGUAGUGACAAUAAAUAACAAUACGGGGUUCUUUAGGAUCUCGUAAUUGGAAUGAGUACAAUUUAAAUCUCUUAACGAGGAACAAUUGGAGGGCAAGUCUGGUGCCAGCAGCCGCGGUAAUUCCAGCUCCAAUAGCGUAUAUUAAAGUUGUUGCAGUUAAAAAGCUCGUAGUUGAAUUUCGGGGUUAGUAGGUUGGUCAUGCCUCUGGUAUGUACUGGUCUCACUGAUUCCUCCUUCCUUAUGAACCGUAAUGCCAUUAAUUUGGUGUUGCGGGGAAUUUGGACUGUUACUUUGAAAAAAUUAGAGUGUUUAAAGCAAGCUAACGCUUGAAUACAUUAGCAUGGAAUAAUGAAAUAGGACGUUCGAUCUUAUUUUGUUGGUUUCUAGGAUUGACGUAAUGAUUAAUAGGGAUAGUUGGGGGCAUUAGUAUUCAAUUGUCAGAGGUGAAAUUCUUGGAUUUAUUGAAGACUAACUACUGCGAAAGCAUUUGCCAAGGAUGUUUUCAUUAAUCAAGAACGAAAGUUAGGGGAUCGAAGACGAUCAGAUACCGUCGUAGUCUUAACCAUAAACUAUGCCGACUAGGGAUCGGAUG